GGGGAAUUUUCCGCAAUGGGCGAAAGCCUGACGGAGCAAUACCGCGUGAGGGAGGAAGGCUCUUGGGUUGUAAACCUCUUUUCUCAGGGAAUAAGUACUGAAGGUACCUGAGGAAUCAGCAUCGGCUAACUCCGUGCCAGCAGCCGCGGUAAUACGGAGGAUGCAAGCGUUAUCCGGAAUGAUUGGGCGUAAAGCGUCCGCAGGUGGUUUUUCAAGUCUGCUGUCAAAGAAUCUGGCUCAACCAGAUAAAGGCAGUGGAAACUGACAGACUAGAGUAUGGUAGGGGUAGAGGGAAUUCCUGGUGUAGCGGUGAAAUGCGUAGAGAUCAGGAAGAACACCGGUGGCGAAAGCGCUCUGCUGGACCAUAACUGACACUGAGGGACGAAAGCUAGGGGAGCGAAUGGGAUUAGAUACCCCCAGUAGUC
Molecule: ribosomal RNA, 425 nt
Filed under: uncultured cyanobacterium
Lineage: Bacteria; Bacillati; Cyanobacteriota
Description: bacterial SSU rRNA
Rfam family: Bacterial small subunit ribosomal RNA
Source: RNAcentral